UAUUUUUAUGAUUAAAAUUUAUUUUAUUUAAUUUAAAUUAUUUUAAAUGUGAAAAUACACUUUAUUUAGGCGAAUUGUGAUUUUCAUGUCUUGUACUCCUGUCUUUGCGACGAGUCUGAUUUGAGUCCUUGAGAGUGAUUCUCAAAGUUUUUUAUUUUAAUUUGAUUCGGCUUGAUUUUGUCAAAUUAGUUUAAUUCAAAAUCAAAUGGAUCCAUUGCGUGAUGGAUGGGACUUGGAAUUCUGAACUGCGUGAUAAUGGAGUUAAUAGGCAUUAGAUAGGG
RNAcentral lists this unclassified non-coding RNA (281 nucleotides) under Hevea brasiliensis (rubber tree). Lineage: Eukaryota; Viridiplantae; Streptophyta; Magnoliopsida; Malpighiales; Euphorbiaceae. The record is from RNAcentral.